This 29-nucleotide non-coding RNA is filed under the name Homo sapiens (human). Lineage: Eukaryota; Metazoa; Chordata; Mammalia; Primates; Hominidae. The record is from RNAcentral.
UGCCAGGCGUGCUGAAAUUGUCUGUUCUC